GAUGAACGCUAGCUACAGGCUUAACACAUGCAAGUCGCGGGGCAGCAUGGGGGUUGCUUGCCAUCCCCGAUGGCGACCGGCGCACGGGUGAGUAACGCGUAUCCAACCUGCCCUUCACCACGGGAUAACCCGGCGAAAGUCGGACUAAUACCGUAUGUUGUCCAUUGACGGCAUCCGAUUUGGACGAAAGGCUUGGCGGUGAGGGAUGGGGAUGCGUCCGAUUAGCCAGACGGCGGGGUAACGGCCCACCGUGGCUACGAUCGGUAGGGGUUCUGAGAGGAAGGUCCCCCACACUGGAACUGAGACACGGUCCAGACUCCUACGGGAGGCAGCAGUGAGGAAUAUUGGUCAAUGGGCGUAAGCCCGAACCAGCCAAGUAGCGUGCAGGAUGACGGCCCUAUGGGUUGUAAACUGCUUUUAUGCGGGGAUAAAGUGGCCCACGUGUGGGCUUUUGCAGGUACCGCAUGAAUAAGGACCGGCUAAUUCCGUG
Molecule: ribosomal RNA, 490 nt
Filed under: uncultured bacterium
Lineage: Bacteria
Description: partial 16S ribosomal RNA
Rfam family: Bacterial small subunit ribosomal RNA
Source: RNAcentral